Long non-coding RNA from Anguilla rostrata (American eel), 543 nucleotides. RefSeq lists it as uncharacterized. The record is from RefSeq and is a predicted model, not a curated record. NCBI's taxonomy places the organism in Eukaryota, Metazoa, Chordata, Actinopteri, Anguilliformes, Anguillidae. The transcript has 2 exons.
AGUGUGGCACAGUGGGUAAGGAACUGCGCUUGUAACCGAAAGGUCGUAGGUUCGAUUCCCGGGUAAGGACACUGCCGUUGUACCCUUGAGCAAGGUACUUAACCUGCAUUGCUUCAGUAUAUAUCCAGCUGUAUAAAUGGAUACAAUGUAAAAAGUUGUGUAAGUCGCUCUGGAUAAGAGCGUCUGCUAAAUGCCUGUAAUGUAAUGUAAUGUAAUGUAUGCCCAAUUUUUCCCCAUAGAAAUGAAUGGAGAAGGUGACGUCAUUCAUAUGCGAACGGUGAAGUUACAGCAUUGGUCGGCUUUGCACACGUGAUGCGGUUUUAACCGGCUUUAUCUACGGGAAAUUUAGAAUCCAGAUGCGGUGCAUAUCUCCAUUUUCAUCGUAAUUACAGAAAACACACAUUCGUAAAUUUCAAAUGAUUUAUACCACAAUGUAGAUAAAACCUUGACGAAGACGUACAUGCACGGAUUGUGUUGUUCAAACGAGGUUUCCUGGCGACUUAGCCACCAGAAUGGAUAUAGCUGAAUGCGGAAGUGAACACG